This is a long non-coding RNA of Perca fluviatilis (European perch), 691 nucleotides long. RefSeq lists it as uncharacterized. The transcript has 3 exons. The record is from RefSeq and is a predicted model, not a curated record. NCBI's taxonomy places the organism in Eukaryota, Metazoa, Chordata, Actinopteri, Perciformes, Percidae.
AUGUCCCCACAAUUUAGUGAGGGGCACCCCGGCUAAUUUCUUUCUCUAACCUUCAUAGAUGACAAAUCCAGUGAGAAACAAACCUUUCCUCUCCACGGUCACGGAACUGCUAUAGAUGACCCAACUAUCAGCUACACGACCCCCAGCGGAUUUCAGAUUUGGGGUCGACACGCCGCAUCAUCUGAACAAAGCGAACGUAGAUCUGCAAGGAAAGUGACAUUUGUCAACGAGCUCAAGCUAUUCCAGACCCAUCUUCAAAAGAGAGAGCUCACGCAUUUCCCCUCCUCGUCGAAGGCGAGCGGAAGAGCAGCCGAGGUCUUACAAAAGCACUCUACGCGACACCGGUUGAAAAUCCGCAGCAGAGUUUUGAGGACAGAUUCUGCAACCUGAGGGAAAAACGGCCACAGAUCACCUUCCUCAUUAACCCUUUCGCUGCUGAAUCCGACUGUUUGAAAGCCCCUUUGGUGACAAACGAAGCAGCGUCCCAGUUGGAGACGAUUGAACUUUGUGAGGAUGAACUUUCCCGCGAACAGACUGCCAAGUUUCUCACCGAGUCAGUCUAGUCCGAGAAGAGGGUGCGUGAAAGCGACGCGGUCCCCGUCACGUGUGGUGUCGUUACAGAGAGAGAGAGAGAGAGCCAGACACAGCAGUCUGAGAAGAGGGUGUGUGGAAGGGACGCGGUCCCCGUCAC